RNAcentral lists this ribosomal RNA (492 nucleotides) under Dialister invisus. RNAcentral's name for it is "bacterial SSU rRNA". It matches the Rfam family "Bacterial small subunit ribosomal RNA", at positions 28 to 490 of the family's 1533-position model. The record is from RNAcentral. Lineage: Bacteria; Bacillati; Bacillota; Negativicutes; Veillonellales; Veillonellaceae.
GACGAACGCUGCGGCGUGCUUAACACAUGCAAGUCGAACGAAAAGACGAAAGAGCUUGCUCUUUCCAGAAUUGAGUGGCAAACGGGUGAGUAACACGUAAACAACCUGCCUUCAGGAUGGGGACAACAGACGAAACGACUGCUAAUACCGAAUAAGUUCCAAGAGCCGCAUGGCCCAUGGAAGAAAAGGUGGCCUCUACCUGUAAGCUAUCGCCUGAAGAGGGGUUUGCGUCUGAUUAGCUGGUUGGAGGGGUAACGGCCCACCAAGGCGACGAUCAGUAGCCGGUCUGAGAGGAUGAACGGCCACACUGGAACUGAGACACGGUCCAGACUCCUACGGGAGGCAGCAGUGGGGAAUCUUCCGCAAUGGGCGAAAGCCUGACGGAGCAACGCCGCGUGAGUGAUGACGGCCUUCGGGUUGCAAAACUCUGUGAUCCGGGACGAAAAGGCAGAGUGCGAAGAACAAACUGCAUUGACGGUACGGAAAAGCAAG